GAAAUGCGAUACGUAGUGUGAAUUGCAGAAUUCCGUGAACCAUCGAAUCUUUGAACGCACAUUGCGCUUGAGGCUUCGGCCAAGAGCAUGUCUGCCUCAGCGUCGGGUUAAUAUCGUCUCCCUUAAUCCUCCGGGAUCAAGGAAGUGCGGAUCUGGCUAUUCCAGCUAUGCAGCUUGUUUGCGCUAACCCGCAGACAUGGCAUCAAGCACCUGGAUUAGCUGAAGAUUAGAGGCAAACCAAAGGCUCGUAACGGGCCGCUACUGGGUGGGCUGUCAAAAGCUAUAUUCUUAGUAGUUGGUCUGAGACUUUGUGUUCAGCCCUCAAACAGGAACAUAUUAACCUAUUAUCUCGACCUGAGCUCAGGCAAGAACACCCGCUGAACUUAA
RNAcentral lists this unclassified non-coding RNA (387 nucleotides) under uncultured fungus. Its description in RNAcentral is "sequence contains ITS1". The stretch from base 1 to 105 matches the Rfam family "5.8S ribosomal RNA", at positions 50 to 154 of the family's 154-position model. Lineage: Eukaryota; Fungi. The record is from RNAcentral.